UACGUAGGGGGCAAGCGUUGUCCGGAUUUAUUGGGCGUAAAGAGCGUGUAGGCGGCUUGGUAGGUCCGCUGUGAAAACUCGAGGCUCAACCUCGAGACGCCGAUGGAAACCCUCCAGCUAGAGUCCGGAAGAGGAGAGUGGAAUUCCUGGUGUAGCGGUGAAAUGCGCAGAUAUCAGGAAGAACACCCGUGGCUAAGGCGGCUCUCUAGUACGGUACUGACGCUGAGACGCGAAAGCGUGGGGAGCGAACAGG
RNAcentral lists this ribosomal RNA (253 nucleotides) under uncultured bacterium. RNAcentral's name for it is "partial 16S ribosomal RNA". It matches the Rfam family "Bacterial small subunit ribosomal RNA", at positions 524 to 776 of the family's 1533-position model. The record is from RNAcentral.